Molecule: non-coding RNA, 53 nt
Organism: Tauraco erythrolophus (red-crested turaco)
Lineage: Eukaryota; Metazoa; Chordata; Aves; Musophagiformes; Musophagidae
Source: Rfam
CAAUUGGCUGUCUUGAAUUAAACAGCCACCGAAUAUUAAGUAUAAAAAUGCAU